UACGUAGGGUGCGAGCGUUAAUCGGAAUUACUGGGCGUAAAGCGUGCGCAGGCGGCGGUUCAAGUCAGGUGUGAAAUCCCCGGGCUUAACCUGGGAAUUGCGCUUGAAACUAGGUCGCUAGAGUGUGGCAGAGGGGGGUGGAAUUCCACGUGUAGCAGUGAAAUGCGUAGAGAUGUGGAGGAACACCGAUGGCGAAGGCAGCCCCCUGGGUCAACACUGACGCUCAUGCACGAAAGCGUGGGGAGCAAACAGG
RNAcentral lists this ribosomal RNA (253 nucleotides) under uncultured bacterium. RNAcentral's name for it is "partial 16S ribosomal RNA". It matches the Rfam family "Bacterial small subunit ribosomal RNA", at positions 524 to 776 of the family's 1533-position model. The record is from RNAcentral.